This 3565-nucleotide long non-coding RNA is filed under the name Ananas comosus (pineapple). RNAcentral's name for it is "long non-coding RNA (ACOM_LNC039679)". The record is from RNAcentral. Lineage: Eukaryota; Viridiplantae; Streptophyta; Magnoliopsida; Poales; Bromeliaceae.
GUUUUUUUUUUUUUUUUUUUAAAAAGAAUAGGUAGCACGCUACCUGCUUCGUUUAUUUUAUUUAGAAAUAAAUUUAGCUGAAAAUGUGAAUCAACUAGAAUUCGAACUUAGGUCUCGGGUACCAACCAUCAAGUCCUUUGCCACUUGCUCUAGAGACGAUCGAUCCAACUUCCAGACUGUUGUUUUCAAUUUAGCAGACUUCGUGUACCAUCAUCAUGCUCAUUAAAUAAAUUAUUUAAAAACAGGUAAAUUACAUAAAUUGGUUCUCAAAUUAUGAGGUGGAUAAUAUUUUUUAGUGCUUAUAUUUUAAUAUUUUAUAAUUUUUUAUUUAAAAUUUUAAGAUUGUUGUAAUUAAGUGUCAUAAUUCAAACAAUAAUAUGGUAAAUUAUACUGAGUAAUGUGUCAAUAAUUAGUCUUCUAAAUAAGAUGGUGGGGCUUAAUUACAAUAAUUCUAAAAAAAUGAGUCAAAAAUUAUAAUAUAUGAAAGUUUGAGGACCCAUAUGUCACUCACUUUAUAGUUUGAGGGCCUAGCAAGCAAUUUACCUGCUCAUUUUGUUUAGGACCGUUCAUAGAAGUGAGCUACAAUACAAGGGCAUUUUGUUUAGGAUAUUUUAUUUUAUUUUAUUUUAUUUUUACUUUUGAGAAGGAAGAUAGUAAAAUAUACACUCUGUUCAUUUUUUUUUUAAAAAAAACUUAAUUAUUAUCUUUUUUUUUUUGCUAAGUACAUUAAGAUAAAUCGCUUCAUAAGUUUAAUAUGAUAUUUUAUUAAUUAAAUUAAGAUAAGUUUCAAGUUGUUUUCUCAAAAUAAGAUAAGUAAAUUAAAUAUGAUAUUUUAUUAAUUAAACUAUAGAUAGGAAGACUUUUAAAGGAGUACUUAAAAAAACAAAAAAAAAGGGUUAAUUUCAUAGGUGCCCUCACACCAACCCCUAAUUACAUGGAUGCCCUCCAAAAAUUUUUAAUAUCAAAAAUACCCUUCAAAUUUAGUAAAAUUAUCAAAACUACCCUUAUUACCUAUAUUUUUAAAAAAAUAUGGCUAAAAUACCUAUUUUACCCCUCUUACUCUUACAACUAUUAUAAUAUAUAUUUUAUUACCAAGAUAAUAUACUUUUACUAUAAGUAUUUUUCUAGUUUAAUUUAAUUAAUUUAAUAUGUCUUCAUUUUAACUAGUUUAAUAUGUCUAUAUUUUAUUUCAUUUAACUAGUAUAUAUUCAUUUUAUUUGUUUAAUUACAAAUGGAAUAAUUAGAUACUUUUUGUUAGAUUUAUUUAAAGAUUUUUAUAUUAUUUUAGACGUAGUUUGAAAAUUCUUUAUUGUAGCUUUAAUUUAUAUUACUAUGAGUUUUUUUCAUAUUUGUCUUUUUAUAGUUUACUUUGAUUAUUUUUUAAAUCUUUAUAUUAUCUAUAUAUCCUCUAUUAAUCCCCGUGUUAGACAUCCACGUGUCAUCCCAUUCUUAAUUUUGUACACGUGGCCCGUCAUGGGUCCCACCUGCUACCAAGCCGGUUCGAUCCCGCUACCCCGCCUCUUCGAUCCCUGCUACUCCCGCCUCUUCAAUGGCGCCUCCGUUUCGAUCCCGGUUGCUCCUCUAUCUCUCCUCUCCUCUCCUCUCCUCUCCUCUCCGACCCUUUCCUUCGUUCCCCUUCGUCCCCUCGACCUCUCCCCUCCCCCGAAACCCUAGCUCUCUCGAUCGUGGCGGGUGGGGUGCAGCCAUGAAGCUUGCGGGGCUCAGAUCGGUGGAGAACGCCCACGACGAGUCGAUCUGGGCGGCGACGUGGGUCCCUGCCACCGACUCCCACCCCGCGCUUCUCCUCACGGGCCCACUUGACGAGAUCGUGAGGCUCUGGCGCCCGACGAGCUCGCUGCGGCGGUGCCACCCUCGCACGGCCGCGUCCUCGGCGUCGUCGCCGCCGCCGCCCACCCCUCCAGCUCCCUCGCCGCCGCCGCCUCCCUCGACAGCUCCGUCCGCGUCGAGGGAGGCGACGGAGCUUCGACGUCGACUCCAACGCCUCCGUCGCCUCCCUCGACGCCCUCCCUCCCUCCCCCCCGAGGUCUGGGGCUUGCAGUUCGACCCCAAGGUAACGCCACCUUUAGAUAUCUGUUUCUUUGGAUUGCAAAAAAGCACAAAUCCAAUAUUUAAUUAGUUUUUAUUAUUCUUUCGAUCUGGCAUGGCGGUGGCGGCGGCGAUGCCGGCGCCGGCACCGCCCGCGGAUUCUUUAGAUUACUGGCGGAAGUUCUUCCGCAGCGCGGCGAACGCCGGCAUCUUCCGGGUGAUCGAGAAGGCGAUCGCGGUCGCCGCCGCAGACUCUCCCGACGAGCUCCGCGCCUGGCGCGCCCGGAUCGCCGAGGCGCUCUACGUCUGCCUCGCGUGCACGUGUUCUACCCGCCGCCUACAUAAUCAUCAUAAUCAAGAAGAAGCCGAUCAAAAGGAAGAGGAGGAGGAGGAUGAUCGCCGUGUGGGGAGCAAUUUGAGCUACGAUGAGGCGGAGGCGCUCACGGAGAGAUCGAGGAGGAGAGCCACACGCUCGGAGAGGUUUUGAGAAUCAAGGUCGUUCUCAGCACCGGCCGGGAGCAGGUCUGGGGCNAACCACAUGACACUAAUUGAUAUACUUUAAACCAUAAGGGCCUAAAGUGAGAAAGUGUGAAACCGCAUGGGUGGUAUUUAAAGUUUUUCCUUAUAUAUCAUUUUUAAUCGGCUAUCCAAUUGUUUAAAAUUUUGAUUUUAUUACUCAAUUUUUCAAUUUGUUUAAAUGAAUAAGUUAAUGACAUUUUGAAUUGUUCAUAGUUUAAAAGUUGUACUUACAAAAGUUUAGUUUUGGACCAUCAUGUUAUAUCAUAAUAGUAUAAGCACUGUGCUGUGAAAUAAUAUAGCCGGUAACUUAAUUGGGUAACGGGUUCGUCUACCGCCCAUCACCAGUCAACCGGUUCGGGCGGACCCGCGGUUAGCUGUCAUUGGGUGGACGGUGGGGAUACCGGGAGUGGCCGGUGAAACAAACGGCAUCGCGGCGACGUGGCGUGUACGCAUUGGUCGUUGCCCCCGCAAGGUCUUAUCCCGGGGAAUAAGUGUUCUUUUUUUUUUUUACUUUUUUUUUAUUUUUUGGUUUUUAGCCGAAUAGGUGUUCGCGGCGCGGGGUAGUUACUGGGUACGUGGGAAUAGUGGGGGGUCUCUAUCCCGGGAUGCGAAUAUUCGGGGGAUAUUUUGGGGGAUAAUUUGGGCGGAGCAUUGGAAUAUUCUCCGACUUUUAAAUUCCCGCCCCUUGCACGUGACGUCAUCCGCCAUGCCGCGGCAUCCUCCCUUCCAACUUUCAGACUGUUUUUUUUUUUUUUUUUUUUUUUUUUUUGAGAGAAAGGUAGCAUGCAACCCUCUUCGUUUAUUUCUUUUAGAAAUAAAUUUAGCUGAAAAUGUAACACAACUAAACUUCAAAUAUGGGACCUCAGAUACCAACCACCAAGCCUUUUGGUAUUUGCACUAGGAACAGUCGGCGAUACAACUGAUCUCUGUAUAAUCUGAUCCGACAUCCAAACAAAGUCCUUAGUUAAAUAUCUUCUCAGAAUAUUUUUCCUUCUAUAUA